GAUCCUGGCUUAGGAUGAACGCUGGCGGCGUGCUUAACACAUGCAAGUCGAACGCUGAAGCUCCCAGCUUGCUGGGGGUGGAUGAGUGGCGAACGGGUGAGUAUCACGUGAGUAACCUGCCCUUGACUCUGGGAUAGGCCCGGGAAACUGGGUCUAAUACUGGAUAGGACUGGCCAUCGCAUGGUGGUUGGUUGAAAGCUUUUUGCGGUUUUGGAUGGACUCGCGGCCUAUCAGCUUGUUGGUGGGGUAAUGGCCUACCAAGGCUUUGACGGGUAGCCGGCCUGAGAGGGUGACCGGCCACACUGGGACUGAGUCACGGCCCAGACUCCCACGGGAGGCAGCAGUGGGGGAUAUUGCACAAUGGGCGCAAGCCUGAAUGCAGCGACGCCGCGUGAGGGAUGACGGCCUUCGGGUUGUAAACCUCUUUCAGUUGGGAAGAAGCCUUUCGGGGUGACGGUACCUUCAGAAGAAGCACCGGCUAACUACGUGCCAGCCGCAGC
This 500-nucleotide ribosomal RNA is filed under the name uncultured bacterium. RNAcentral describes it as "bacterial SSU rRNA". It matches the Rfam family "Bacterial small subunit ribosomal RNA", at positions 15 to 518 of the family's 1533-position model. The record is from RNAcentral.